GAUGAAGAACGCAGCGAAAUGCGAUAAGUAAUGUGAAUUGCAGAAUUCAGUGAAUCAUCGAAUCUUUGAACGCACAUUGCGCCCUCUGGUAUUCCGGGGGGCAUGCCUGUUCGAGCGUCAUUAUAACCACUCAAGCUCUCGCUUGGUAUUGGGGUUCGCGGUUCCGCGGCCCCUAAAAUCAGUGGCGGUGCCUGUCGGCUCUACGCGUAGUAAUACUCCUCGCGAUUGAGUCCGGUAGGUCUACUUGCCAGCAACCCCCAAUUUUUACAGGUUGACCUCGGAUCAGGUAGGGAUACCCGCUGAACUUAAGCAUAUCAAUAAGGAGGA
RNAcentral lists this unclassified non-coding RNA (327 nucleotides) under soil metagenome. Its description in RNAcentral is "partial contains 5.8S ribosomal RNA, internal transcribed spacer 2, and large subunit ribosomal RNA". The stretch from base 1 to 120 matches the Rfam family "5.8S ribosomal RNA", at positions 35 to 154 of the family's 154-position model. The record is from RNAcentral.